This 497-nucleotide ribosomal RNA is filed under the name uncultured bacterium. RNAcentral's name for it is "partial 16S ribosomal RNA". It matches the Rfam family "Bacterial small subunit ribosomal RNA", at positions 28 to 507 of the family's 1533-position model. The record is from RNAcentral.
GAUGAACGCUGGCGGCGUGCCUAAUACAUGCAAGUCGAGCGAACAGACGAGGAGCUUGCUCCUCUGACGUUAGCGGCGGACGGGUGAGUAACACGUGGAUAACCUACCUAUAAGACUGGGAUAACUUCGGGAAACCGGAGCUAAUACCGGAUAAUAUAUUGAACCGCAUGGUUCAAUAGUGAAAGACGGUUUUGCUGUCACUUAUAGAUGGAUCCGUGCCGCAUUAGCUAGUUGGUAAGGUAACGGCUUACCAAGGCAACGAUGCGUAGCCGACCUGAGAGGGUGAUCAGCCACACUGGAACUGAGACACGGUCCAGACUCCUACGGGAGGCAGCAGUAGGGAAUCUUCCGCAAUGGGCGAAAGCUUGACGGAGCAACGCCGCGUGAGUGAUGAAGGUCUUCGGAUCGUAAAGCUCUGUUAUUAGGGAAGAAAAAAUGUGUAAGUAACUAUGCACGUCUUGACGGUACCUAAUCAGAAAGCCACGGCUAACUACGUG